This 847-nucleotide non-coding RNA is filed under the name Solanum tuberosum (potato). RNAcentral describes it as "Eukaryotic small subunit ribosomal RNA". It matches the Rfam family "Eukaryotic small subunit ribosomal RNA", at positions 66 to 918 of the family's 1831-position model. Lineage: Eukaryota; Viridiplantae; Streptophyta; Magnoliopsida; Solanales; Solanaceae. The record is from Rfam by way of RNAcentral.
UAAACAAAUUCAUACUGUGCAACUACGAAUGGCUCAGUCAAUCAGUUAUACUUUGUUUGAUGGUAUCUACUACUUGGAUAACCAUAGUAAUUCUAGAGCUAAUAUGUGACAAAAACCACGACAUGUGGAAGGGAUACAUUUAUUAGAUAAAAGGUCGACGCGGGAUCUGCCCAUUAUCGCGAUGAUUCAUGAUAACUCGAUGGAUCGCAAGACCGUCAUGACGGUGACGCAUCAUUCUAAUUUUUGCUGGAUCAACUUUCGAUAGUAGGAUAGUGGCCUACCAUGGUUGUGACAAGUGAUGGAGAAUUAGGGUUCGAUUCCUGAGAGGGAGCCUGAGAAAUGACUACCACAUCCAAGGAAGGCCGUAGGUGCGCAAAUUACAAAAUUUUGACACGGGGAGGUAGUGACAAUAAAUAACAGUACUGGGCUCUACUAGUUGGGUAAUUGGAAUGAGUACAAUCUAAAUCCCUUAACGAGGAUCCAUUGGAGGGCAAGUCAAGUGCUAGGAGUCGCGGUAAUUCGUGCUCCAAUAGCAUAUAUUUAAGUUGUUGUAGUUAAAAAGCUCGUAGUUGGACUUUGGGAUGGGUCGGUUGGUUUGUCCUAGGAGUGCACCGGUCGUCUCAUCCCUUCUGUAGGCGAUGCGCUCCUGGCCUUAAUUGGCUGGGUUAUGCCUCCGGCGCUUUUGCCUUGAACAAAUUAGAAGGCUCAAAGCAAGCCUACGCUCUGUAUACAUUAGCAUGGGAUAAAAUUAUAGGGUUUCGGUCCUAUUACAUUUACCUUCGGGAUCGAAUUAAUGAUUAACAGGGACCUUCGGGGGCAUUCGUUUUUCAUAGUCAGAGGUGAAAUU